This 429-nucleotide ribosomal RNA is filed under the name uncultured Methanosaeta sp. RNAcentral's name for it is "bacterial SSU rRNA". It matches the Rfam family "Archaeal small subunit ribosomal RNA", at positions 908 to 1338 of the family's 1478-position model. Lineage: Archaea; Methanobacteriati; Methanobacteriota; Methanomicrobia; Methanotrichales; Methanotrichaceae. The record is from RNAcentral.
GGAUUCAACGCCGGAAUCUUACCGGACCGACAGCAAUAUGAAGGCCAGGCUGAAGACUUUGCCGGAUUAGCUGAGAGGUGGUGCAUGGCCGUCGUCAGUUCGUACUGUGAAGCAUCCUGUUAAGUCAGGCAACGAGCGAGACCCACGCCCACAGUUGCCAGCGUACUCUCCGGAGUGACGGGUACACUGUGGGGACCGCCGCUGCUAAAGCGGAGGAAGGAAUGGGCAACGGUAGGUCAGUAUGCCCCGAAUAUCCCGGGCUACACGCGAGCUACAAUGGUUGGUACAAUGGGUAUCUACCCCGAAAGGGGACGGGAAUCUCCUAAAACCAAUCUUAGUUCGGAUUGAGGGCUGCAACUCGCCCUCAUGAAGCUGGAAUCCGUAGUAAUCGCGUUUCAACAGAACGCGGUGAAUACGUCCCUGCUCCUU